Long non-coding RNA from Mesocricetus auratus (golden hamster), 5438 nucleotides. RefSeq lists it as uncharacterized. NCBI's taxonomy places the organism in Eukaryota, Metazoa, Chordata, Mammalia, Rodentia, Cricetidae. The record is from RefSeq and is a predicted model, not a curated record. The transcript has 3 exons.
AGCUGGAUCCCUUACAGAAGCAGCUUGUUUGUCUUAUUCAGAUGAAGGCACGGUGCCAGGCUGAGGUGAUCUCGUUAUCCACCAGCCUUGAUUGGAAGGGGAUGACUCCGUUGCGGGGCGUGUUUGAAGUGCACUUCGCGAUGAAAGUCAGUCGUCCUGUAAGGAGACACUUUCAAUCAGGCUAAAGACUGUGUCUCCGUGCUGUGAGAGGCAGGAGUUGAAAACAAAUAAGGAGCCAUCGGUAAAUGGCCAUGCUCUCCAUCAGUUUGAACCCAGGCACCCGCUCCUAUUUACAACUGGAGUUGGCGUUGGGGACCUUGGAGCCGCUUGCGAUGUUGGAGCCGAUGUUGCUGAUGAGGUCCCAAGAACUCCCUGAGAGAAGUGCUAUCCCUGUGUCAAGAUCAAGGAGCCCAAAUAGAGAAGCUUGGAAGGAUUAUGAGCCGGAGGCCAGAAGAAGCCAGCCACAUUGCUCUGCCAUGUUAGAGCUAGCUAUGUCCAACAGAUUCUCCCCUGGCAUGCUCCGAUAGAAACGUAAUCUGCGGAUGCUGAUUUGGCUUUGUGAGACUCCAGGCAGAGAAAUCAGUCUGGACUUCUUAGAGAACUGGGAGGUAACACGCACGUGUUUCCGAAGCCGCUAACUUCAAGCUGUUGCGUGCAGUUGCUCUGAAGUCAUUGGGCAUGUGCUUCCAGUACCUCAUUCUCUCCUGCAAUUGAUGAGAGUCAGGAAACAAUGAUGGACAGCAUUUUAAACAGAUUUAAGAAUGUAUUUGUUUUUAUUUACAUGUAUGUGAGAGGGAGGUGGGGACACUUGAGUAUCGGUGCCAUAGGAUGUCAGAGGGUAUCAGAUCUUCCAGAGCUGGCAUUAAAGGGCAGUUGUGAAACACUCAUCAUAGGUGCUAGGAUCUGAAUACAAGAGCAGAAGGUAUUUUUAAACUAUGAUCCAGCUCUCCAGUCCAACAUGUACGUGAACACUUUUAAUUUAUUUAAAUAUUUUUCAUUUUGCACACCAACCCCACUUCCCCCUACCUUCCUGGUCCUCUCUUCCAUUCCAUUCCCCAUUCACUCCUCAGAGUGGGUAAGGCCUCCCUUGGGGAGUCAACAAAGUCUGGGACACCAAAUUUAGGCAGGACCAAGCCCCUCCUCCCUGCAUCAAGGCUGAGCAAGGUAUUCCUCCAUAGAGAAUGGUCUCCAAAAAGCCACGAGUAAACACUUUCAUUGGAUGUUUUUGGACGGACUACAAGAGGGAAUGAAGGUUUGACACAUACCUUGAAAUUUGUAACCCUGUGUGGCAAUGAUAAUAUCUUACCUAUAGUUAUAUCUAUCUAGGCAUCUAUCUAUCUAUCUAUCUCUAUCACCCCUUUCAUUAGCAACAUAAAUCCCAUAUAUAAUCUGUUUAGCUACCUAUGCAUUUAUUUGUAGUGCUGAGCAUCAAACCCAGGGCUUUGCAUAUGCUAGGCAACUAUUGCACUAAUGGAGCUGAACCUCAGUUCAUGUUUCCUAUGUAAAAAUGACUUCUGUACCCUCUUUGGUCCUUAGGAUAAAACAGAACAGUAAUCACGCGAACCAGGACAUUCUUGUGUGGUCACAAUUCCCCCUUUCCUUCUGUUCAGCGUCUCUGCUGCCUGUGAAUUCUCUUGGGCCUUUGUCUGAAGAAUCUGUGAGUGUCAGGAGGCAAAGGACUUUCUCAGCUUGAAAUCUGAAUGAAGAGCUUGGGAUUUCCAGUUCUAUCCAGAAUGUGCCAGAAAGAUUAGGAGAUUGUAGAAAGGCUUCCUAGAAAAAAAUAAAAGAUUUGAGAAAUGAGACCCAUAGCAAGCCCUGGAAGAGUGAUAGACAGAAGUUAUGUAUUAUCAACUUGGUAGAGAAAUGCAUCCCUGAGGUGCUCUAAGACAAUUGGCUCAGGAGGGCUCUGAGGCAUAUUAAAGGAAAUGCACAAAUUCCUGAAUAAAGAAUAACAGAUAUUUAUUUGGGGAGCACUCACACAAUGAUGGUAAAUAACCACCUCAGUCUUCUGCUCCUAGAGGUGCAGAGUCUGUGAUGCAGGAUGCUCAGACCACAACCCAAGAGAGCCCAAGUGAGUCCCCCCUUUUCCUUAUAAAGGGGCACGCAGAAGCCACACCCUAAGGCCAUUACCUCAAGUCUAUUGGCGGAACAAGAUGCCAUUAAGAGCUCUGACCUAAUCAAGGGAUUAAUCCAUGGAUGGAUUCAUAAUCUGAUAGCACUAUCAGGAGGGGUAAGAGGAGGAAGGUGAGGAGUAGAUAUUUGGAGUAUGCCUUUGGGGGCUGUAUCCCACCCGGCUCUCACCCAUUAGGACUCUGCUUUCUUUCAACAUUGAUGUGAGUCAGCCCCCCCCUCUCUGCUUCCUGCCUGCGCCUGCCAUAGCUGGCCUCUCUGCCUCACAUCCCUGCCUUCACAAUGUUCUGUGUAACUACACAGGUGACACAGCUGGCCUCUCCACCACGUGUCCCUGCUGUCACGAUGUUCUGUGUAAGCACAUGUUAUGGGAACAAACAAAUUACAAACCGAAACCUGAGUCCAGACCAAUCCUACCUUUAAGUUAUUUCUCAGUCAUACGGUCACAAAGAUGAAGAGGAGCUAAUACAGUAGCCAUUUGGCCAGAGAACCCUGGAGUGUGACUGAAAGAAAAACAACCACCACAACAACCACACAGGAGUUCCACAUGUUUCAGGAGGCUGUGCUCUGUUUUGGAGAGAGAGGUAAAGACAGGUCUCAUUUGAAGUCUUAUGCACUGCAACCCUCUGUUUCCCUUUGAUAGAGACAAGUGUCCCCCCUUCCUGAUGAUCUACAUUUGGUUUGUUAGGGAAUCAGUGAAUAUUUGCUGAAAAACAAAUUUGGCUGGAAGGCAACCUCCUUCUCGAAACUUCCUUAUUCUCAAUCACGUGUCUAAUUAAGUAAAUAAUCCUGAUGUCACCCCCACCCCCAACUAACCACCCAGGCAGCAUGACAGCUCACAUUGCAGACAUAGUCUUAGAAAACCAUGUAAAGUUGUCAGCAAGCUGAACUCAAUAAUUAAACACAGAAAACAUAGGCAUUUCAAAAGAAAAUGCGUGAGAAUUAUCUCAUUGUUAAUUUUCUGUUAGUGGUGUGAAGUGGACCUUUCCAGGUCACCAUCAAAGAGACACAGGCUGUGGGCUUAUUCUGUUGACAGCUUAAUUGUGCCAGAAGACAGCUUUCGAUAGGUCUACAAAGGUGUGUGAGUCUGGCUAGCUAUCACUUCCAGUUUUUAAUUAACACUUCUUGCAGUUUAAGUGAAAACACAAUAGCAGGAAAUUCUGAAAAAUGGAAGAUAAUAACUGGAAAUGCUGAGAAGUAUGCAGGACAGAACUUGGGGAAAGGAGCAGGGGGAAAAAGUCAAGGCAUUUUGAUUCAUCUUUCACUGUAUCUACCAUUCAAUGGCUAUAAUUUGACCACCCAUACUAUGAAGUAUCCACAAGGGGCUGUUACAGAAGAUGGUGGUGGAAACAGUGAUGUCAUCCGCCCACUUUAUAAUUUAAGAUUGUUCCCAAAAGUGUGUUAUUCAAAGUCCGGUCCAGGAAAAUUUCCUGUGACUCAGUCUGAGCAAUUAUUAUGACAUUCCCUGGGAAGCUCUUUGAACAAUAAUACCCUUUGCUACUAAGAAUGCUGCUUUGAGGUCAGCCAGAAUUUCUCAUUGUCCAUCUUGAAUACAAGAGUUUGGCUCUACUUUUCUUGACCACCACCAAACAAGUGCUGUCAUUCAAUCGAUAUGGAAAACAUUUUGAAUUUAGCUAGAGUCUGAUGUUUGAGUCCCAAAGAAAUAUUGGUGGAAAAAAAAGAUCUACAUGAUUGGAUAGAUGAAUAGAUGAUGUUCAUCCUUAACUCUGUUUCUAACCUCUCAGUUUGCUUGAUGAAGGUCUUUAAUAGAGCAGGGGGGGUGUAGGAGUGUAGGAUGUAAGAAUGGACACCUCCAUGUUGGCUCACCAUUCUUUAGCACUGAGUGCAGGAAGAUCGUUUUGAGUCACCAGGAAAGUAUUCGCUUGCUGGGGUUGUUGUCAGCAAGUACCAUGAACUAGCUGGCUACAGUAACAGCAGUUAUUAUUUCAUAGUCAUGGAUGGCAGAAGCCUAAGCAUGUAGACCAGUGUGUCAGGCAGGUGACUGCGUUCUGAAGGCCGUGAGAGUCCUUUGCCAGUCUCUUCAUUGGCUUCCAGUGGUUAGCUGGCUGUCUUGGGGAAUUCUUGGGCUGACAGAUAUAUCAAUCCUAUCUUAGGGUUACUAUCACUGUAAAGAAACAGCAUGACCAAAAGAACUUGGGGAAAAAGGGUUUGUUUGGCUUACACUUCAACAUUAUCUAUUAUUCAAGGAAGUCAGGGAAGGGACCUGGAAUCAGGAGAUGAUGCAGAUGCCACGGAGGGGUGCUGCUUACUGGAUUGCUCUUCAAGGCUUGUUCAGCCUGCUUUCUUAUAGGCUCCAGGACCAUCAGUCCGGGGAUGAUGCUACCCUCUCCCAUCAAUCACUAAUUUAAAAAAUGCCUUUCUAUUUAGACCUAAGCCUCAAUUUAUCCUGAAGAUGACUUGGGGGAGGAGACAUUACUAACUUCCCUCUCCUCUUCCCAGUUGUGGCCAUAUAGAGAUAAACCUCUCUCUGCUUUUGCUAUUAUUUUUCCCUUUAAUUGGCCUAUUGAGAACAGGUUGCCAAGCCUUAGCCUAGGGCUUCCAAGACUCAGGCUCUGAUCCUAACAACACCGGUGACAACCUUGGCUACUUCAUGUUCUAGGAGCAAAAUCAAGGUCAGAGGAAGUGAUAACAACAUAUCUAUGCUGCUUUCCGUUUCUCCACUAUACUAUACUAAACUCUAGUUGGACUCAGUGAUGCAGCUGCAACAAAAUGCUCAGACAUAGGUACAAAGGCACGGCCACACCUGGGGCAGUCCAGGGAUGGAAUUCAAUGAGUAGGACAUGUCUUCAGCUACCAGCCAUCAUGGUUGUUUCAUUUCUCCUUUCUGUCUGGAAGAGCUACUCGCAUGAUUUUUUACUUAUGUGCAGCAAGAGCUGUGCUAUCUAUUUCAGAAAGACAAAUGUAUGCUAAUAUUACAGAAGGUUAUUGUGGAAAACACCUUGAGAAACCACAGCUUCUUCCAGAUUAAUAUCACAGCUGAGAGAAGGAUCUGUUGGUCCUUCGUGAAAUAAGAGAAAUAUAUGUGCAGCCCUGACUAUCCUGGAAUAGGCUGGCCUUGAACUCAGAGAUCCACUUGCCUUUGCCUGCCGAGUGCUGGGAUUAAAGCCACCACGGCCUUGCCCAAGUGGUAAUUUUAAGACAUUGUUUUGACUACACAGUAAGUGUGGAAAAUGUUACCAUUCCUCCCAUAAUUGGUAUCUUGAACUCUUGAGAUCGUUCUAUUUCUGCUUUAUUAAAACAAUAGGGUUGGAGAGAUGGCUCAGAUAUUAGGAGCACUGACUCCUCUU